Molecule: ribosomal RNA, 622 nt
Filed under: uncultured marine bacterium
Lineage: Bacteria
Description: bacterial SSU rRNA
Rfam family: Bacterial small subunit ribosomal RNA
Source: RNAcentral
AGAGUUUGAUCAUGGCUCAGGAUGAACGCUGGCGGCGUGCCUAAUACAUGCAAGUCGAGCGAACUGAUUAGAAGCUUGCUUCUAUGACGUUAGCGGCGGACGGGUGAGUAACACGUGGGCAACCUGCCUGUAAGACUGGGAUAACUUCGGGAAACCGAAGCUAAUACCGGAUAGGAUCUUCUCCUUCAUGGGAGAUGAUUGAAAGAUGGUUUCGGCUAUCACUUACAGAUGGGCCCGCGGUGCAUUAGCUAGUUGGUGAGGUAACGGCUCACCAAGGCAACGAUGCAUAGCCGACCUGAGAGGGUGAUCGGCCACACUGGGACUGAGACACGGCCCAGACUCCUACGGGAGGCAGCAGUAGGGAAUCUUCCGCAAUGGACGAAAGUUUGACGGAGCAACGCCGCGUGAGUGAUGAAGGCUUUCGGGUCGUAAAACUCUGUUGUUAGGGAAGAACAAGUACGAGAGUAACUGCUCGUACCUUGACGGUAUCUAACCAGAAAGCCACGGUUAACUACGUGCCAGCAGCCGCGGUAAUACGUAGGUGGCAAUCAUUAUCCGGAAUUAUUGGGCGUAAAGCGCGCGCAGGCGGUUUCUUAAGUCUGAUGUGAAAGCCCACGGCUCA